Molecule: ribosomal RNA, 468 nt
Filed under: uncultured bacterium
Lineage: Bacteria
Description: partial 16S ribosomal RNA
Rfam family: Bacterial small subunit ribosomal RNA
Source: RNAcentral
GACGAACGCUGGCGGCGUGCUUAACACAUGCAAGUCGAACGGAAAGGCCCUGCUUUUGUGGGGUGCUCGAGUGGCGAACGGGUGAGUAACACGUGAGUAACCUGCCCUUGACUUUGGGAUAACUUCAGGAAACUGGGGCUAAUACCGGAUAGGAGCUCCUGCUGCAUGGUGUUGGUUGGAGAGUUUCGGCGGUUGUGGAUGGACUCGCGGCUUAUCAGCUUGUUGGUGAGGUAGUUGCUUACCAAGGCUUUGACGGAUAGCCUGCAUGAGAGGGUGAACGGGCACAAUGCGACUGAGAUAGGGACCAGACUGCAACGGGAGGCAGUGGUGGGGAACAUUGCACAGUGGGCGGAAGCCUGAUGCAGAAGCGCCGCGUGCGGAAUGACGGCCUUCGGGUUAUAAACAGAUUUCGACUGUGACGUAGAGUGAGUGACGGUAAUGGGUAAGGAAGCACCGGCUAACUACGUG